Molecule: non-coding RNA, 88 nt
Organism: Mycena epipterygia
Lineage: Eukaryota; Fungi; Basidiomycota; Agaricomycetes; Agaricales; Mycenaceae
Source: the annotation of a GenBank genome assembly
GGCUCCGUGGCGGGUGGACCGCGUCUGCAGUUCUUAAACGGUAAAGAGGAGUUUGCAGAAGCUGCCUGUUCGAAUCAGGCCGGAGCCU